GAGAGAACAGAGAGGAGAACAGAGAGAACAGAGAGGUUUUAUUUCAGCGUCAACAUGUUUGUUUGGAAGCACAAAGAUUCAAUGAUGCAGCAACUAUCCAACAUGUCAGCACAAGAACUUGCAUCUUCUUCCAAUCACUGCUGGAGAUAGACGACCCCCCCACCCCCCCUGUGACGUGACACCAUGGCAACAGGAGCAUCUG
Molecule: long non-coding RNA, 202 nt
Organism: Gambusia affinis (western mosquitofish)
Lineage: Eukaryota; Metazoa; Chordata; Actinopteri; Cyprinodontiformes; Poeciliidae
Exons: 2
Source: RefSeq, a predicted model, not a curated record